This is a long non-coding RNA of Capsicum annuum, 774 nucleotides long. RefSeq lists it as uncharacterized. The record is from RefSeq and is a predicted model, not a curated record. The transcript is spliced from 3 exons. Lineage: Eukaryota; Viridiplantae; Streptophyta; Magnoliopsida; Solanales; Solanaceae.
AUAAUCACAAUUAAAAGAAAAAAGUUAAAAAAAUGGAGGUGUUUAAUAAGAAAAUAACAUCUCCAUUCUUUACUUUCUUGUUUAUUUCUUCUCUUCUGCUUAUUCAAUGUUUUCCAUAUGUUUUAUCACAGCCUCUUGAAGACGAAGAAUGGCCAACACUACAACCUCAUAAAGGAGCCGGGGGCGGGGGGGCCACGGUAAUGGCCACAGGGUGCCCGGUAAAAAAAAAAUGCCUCGAGCCCCUCCGGUCCCGGGAAAGCCAGACCUACAACUUCCAAAUGGACCAAAUCCUACUACUACUACUACUACAACACCCCAAAAAAAGAAAUUUUGCCUAUCCAAACUACAUGUUUCAGAGUCAGAAAUGAAGGCCAAUUUAAAUUGGGCUUGCAAAUAUGGACGUGUGGAUUGUCGCCCAAUUAAUCCUGGAGGAGGUGAAUGUUUUUGACAACAGUACACUUAGGUCUCGUGCAGCCUGGGCUAUGAAUUCUUACUAUCAUGGCCUGGGUCGUGGAAAUGACGCGACUUGUAAUUUUUGGGGCACCGCUGCCAUCGUCGACCUUGAUCCAAGUUAUGGUUCAUGCAACUACCAAUCUUUAAGUUUUAUGGCCCCCCAAAAGGAAGAUUUUGUAGCUACUCCAACAUUUGAAGAAUUAGUCUUGAAAUAUUAAUAUUUUUAUUUUAAAUUAUGUAUUUUAAUUUGCAAAAACUAAUCUAAUUAUGUGGUCGUGUAGUUUGUGGUUAUCGUAAAUAAAAAAAGAAGAUCGUUGCCUA